Molecule: ribosomal RNA, 275 nt
Filed under: uncultured bacterium
Lineage: Bacteria
Description: partial 16S ribosomal RNA
Rfam family: Bacterial small subunit ribosomal RNA
Source: RNAcentral
UACGGAGGGGGUUAGCGUUGUUCGGAAUUACUGGGCGUAAAGCGCGCGUAGGCGGAUUGGAAAGUUGGGGUGAAAUCCCCGGGGCUCAACCCCCGGAACUGCCUCCAAAACCUACCAGUCUGGAGUUCGAGAGAGGUGAGUGGAAUUCCGAGUGUAGAGGUGAAAUUACGUAGAUAUUCGGAGGAACACCAGUGGCGAAGGCGGCUCACUGGCUCGAUACUGACGCUGAGGUGCGAAAGUGUGGGGAGCAAACAGGAUUAGAUACCCCCGUACGU